This 301-nucleotide ribosomal RNA is filed under the name uncultured bacterium. Its description in RNAcentral is "partial 16S ribosomal RNA". It matches the Rfam family "Bacterial small subunit ribosomal RNA", at positions 509 to 807 of the family's 1533-position model. The record is from RNAcentral.
CAGCAGCCGCGGGAAUACGUAGGUGGCAAGCGUUGUCCGGAAUUAUUGGGCGUAAAGGGCUCGUAGGCGGUUUCUUAAGUCUGAUGUGAAAGCCCCCGGCUCAACCGGGGAGGGUCAUUGGAAACUGGGAAACUUGAGUGCAGAAGAGGAGAGUGGAAUUCCACGUGUAGCGGUGAAAUGCGUAGAGAUGUGGAGGAACACCAGUGGCGAAGGCGACUCUCUGGUCUGUAACUGACGCUGAGGAGCGAAAGCGUGGGGAGCGAACAGGAUUAGAUACCCCGGUAGUCCCUGUCUCUUAUAC